GCCUGAGGCUCGAGUCGCGGCGCCUGGGGCGGUGGCCGCCGGACCAAAGCUGGCCUCUCCCGGCUCCUCCUCCUCGCUCCCCAAGGCCUUUCCCACCGCGUCAUUGUCUCGGUUUAUCUGCAGAUACGUCUACCUAGCAGUCAGCCCAGCAGCGUAAGUGGUGACCAGUGUGGGCCUCUUUGAUCCUGAGACCGAAGGCUCGGCCACUGGCCCUCUCCAUUUGUUCCUUGUUGCCCUCCCUUCAUGAUUCAAUCCAUUAAUUAGGACUUUUCCUACCAGCUGGCAGUUCAGAGCUCCGCAUCCCCAGGCCUCUGAGUCACAGUUCCUGCCUUCAUGAAACUAGGAGUUGGGGCCACUGCAUUCUACUCCUUCGGGACUAUUGUUUCAUUUCUCAGUCCCUCAAACCCUUUAUUGGAUGAACAUGGGGUUAGGACAGCGGUUCUCCACUGCAACAGUUUUGCCUCCCAGGAGACAUUUGGCAAUGUAUGAAUCAUUUUCAGCCUCUCAUCUGGGGUGAGAUGUCAUUGGAAUCUACAGAUGGUGGAGGGCACAGGCAGGGAGUACAGAAGAUGACCCUCUGCAAUAUGGGUGGGCCUCAUUCAAUUAGUUGAAAACCUUGAGAGCAAAGACUGAGGCUCCCUAAAGUAUAAGGAAUUCUCAAGACUGCAACACGGAAACCCUGCC
Molecule: long non-coding RNA, 684 nt
Filed under: Homo sapiens (human)
Lineage: Eukaryota; Metazoa; Chordata; Mammalia; Primates; Hominidae
Description: HSALNT0211052
Source: RNAcentral